GAAGAGUUUGAUCAUGGCUCAGAUUGAACGCUGGCGGCAGGCCUAACACAUGCAAGUCGAACGGUAACAGGAAGCAGCUUGCUGCUUUGCUGACGAGUGGCGGACGGGUGAGUAAUGUCUGGGAAACUGCCUGAUGGAGGGGGAUAACUACUGGAAACGGUGGCUAAUACCGCAUAACGUCGCAAGACCAAAGAGGGGGACCUUCGGGCCUCUUGCCAUCAGAUGUGCCCAGAUGGGAUUAGCUUGUUGGUGAGGUAACGGCUCACCAAGGCGACGAUCCCUAGCUGGUCUGAGAGGAUGACCAGCCACACUGGAACUGAGACACGGUCCAGACUCCUACGGGAGGCAGCAGUGGGGAAUAUUGCACAAUGGGCGCAAGCCUGAUGCAGCCAUGCCGCGUGUAUGAAGAAGGCCUUCGGGUUGUAAAGUACUU
RNAcentral lists this ribosomal RNA (433 nucleotides) under Salmonella enterica subsp. enterica serovar Senftenberg. RNAcentral describes it as "bacterial SSU rRNA". It matches the Rfam family "Bacterial small subunit ribosomal RNA", at positions 1 to 435 of the family's 1533-position model. RNAcentral also lists the same sequence under 3 other names. The record is from RNAcentral. Lineage: Bacteria; Pseudomonadati; Pseudomonadota; Gammaproteobacteria; Enterobacterales; Enterobacteriaceae.